RNAcentral lists this unclassified non-coding RNA (575 nucleotides) under Hevea brasiliensis (rubber tree). The record is from RNAcentral. Lineage: Eukaryota; Viridiplantae; Streptophyta; Magnoliopsida; Malpighiales; Euphorbiaceae.
GACCAGCACAAAUAAUAACCAAAAAUUCAAAAUAAUAAAGAAUCAUAUAAUUAAGGUGGCGCUGAUUUUCUUCCAUAAACCACUAAUAGAUUAAACAAUAAAAAGAUGGAUCACAUAAUCUGUUUUUGGGGUAAUCGUUUCGAAUUUGCAGCUUGUAAAUGGGGUGAUUUAGAAUGGCUAAGCCGCCUUUCUUCGAAGAGCAGUUUGGCAAACCUUGUAAGAGAUUUUCUUUUUUUUUUGAUAAGCUGCCGACAAGUAAAUCCCAGUACACCUAUCCUAUGGAGCAAGCACUAAUUCCAAUCAAAACAAACCAUACAACAAUAGCAGCAAACGAAAUGACAGCAGCAAACAAUCAAAUAGAACCAAAUAAAAUGACAGCAAAGAAAAGCACAUAAAAUCAGCAGCAACAGGAUACCAUUCAAAGGAGAGCUGCAGAAAAUCAGCACAACCAGUCAACCCCAAAAUAUACAAGAGCCUGCAACACUGUUGUUUCACGAAGAAAGUGGACAAUCUAGCACUUGGAAAUAGAAUAAUACAUAUUUUGAGUGUGAGAUAGACGCAGUGGUGAGUGGCCA